CAGUAGCCGCGGGAAUACGUAGGUGGCAAGCGUUGUCCGGAAUUAUUGGGCGUAAAGGGCUCGCAGGCGGUUUCUUAAGUCUGAUGUGAAAGCCCCCGGCUCAACCGGGGAGGGUCAUUGGAAACUGGGAAACUUGAGUGCAGAAGAGGAGAGUGGAAUUCCACGUGUAGCGGUGAAAUGCGUAGAGAUGUAGAGGAACACCAGUGGCGAAGGCGACUCCCUGGUCUGUAACUGACGCUGAGGAGCGAAAGCGUGGGGAGCGAACAGGAUUAGAUACCCCCGUAGCCCUGUCUCUUAUACA
This 301-nucleotide ribosomal RNA is filed under the name uncultured bacterium. Its description in RNAcentral is "partial 16S ribosomal RNA". It matches the Rfam family "Bacterial small subunit ribosomal RNA", at positions 509 to 809 of the family's 1533-position model. The record is from RNAcentral.